Cryptomeria japonica (Japanese cedar) is the source of this 616-nucleotide RNA transcript. It is a transcript of the gene named agamous-like MADS-box protein AGL8 homolog, with no coding region annotated. The transcript has 5 exons. The record is from RefSeq and is a predicted model, not a curated record. Lineage: Eukaryota; Viridiplantae; Streptophyta; Pinopsida; Cupressales; Cupressaceae.
GUGUGGAAAUUACUAAAAGGAGGAUAGACGGUGUAUUAUUAUACCGACUUGCGAGUGUGGUGGGGAGCUCUUCUUCGGCUGAACACUAUUGCGGUCUGCAUAAGAUAAGAUACAGAAUGGUGAGGGGAAAGGUACAUCUGAAAAAGAUAGAGAACCCUGUAAAUCGCAGGGUUACAUUCUCCAAACGGAAGGCGGGACUAUUGAAGAAGGCUAGCGAACUUUCUGUUCUCUGCGAAGCUGAAAUUGGCCUCAUCAUUUUCUCAUCCACGGGGAAGCUCUUCGAGUAUGCAAACCCCAGUUUAAGUGAUUGGAGUGAUUCUUUGAUAAAGUAUGAGCAGAAUAACUGGGAAGUAUCAAAAGCAUGGUGCUUCUUUGGGACACAACAAACUAUCAUCAGAACAUUUAGAGGUACUAGGUUUGGAAAUGGAGAACUUGGAGGAAAGGUUGACACAUUUAGAAAAAAUGUACAAGCAUAUGAAUGGUGAAGAUUUGGAUCUGUUAAAUUUUAAGGAGCUGAAAUGUAUUGAGAAGAAAAUGAGUUUGAGUGCUAGGAAGAUACACUCAAGAAAGGAUAAAAUUUCACUAGAAUAUAUCAGAUCUCUGAAAAUGAAGGUAU